UCUCGGCCACGCCUCCCGGCGAGCGGGCCGGGCGCACGCGCUGCAGACCGAGGUGGGCGGGGCGACCAGAGGAGCGAGGCCAUGCCGGCCCAAGUGUCGGUCAUCCUUCCCGUGCACGAUGCUGAGCCCUGGCUGGACGAGUGUCUGAGGUCCGUUUUGCAGCAGGACUUCCAAGGCUCCAUGGAGCUGUCGGUUUUUAAUGAUGCCAGUAAGGACAAGUCCAUGACUAUCAUUGAAAAAUGGAAAGCGAAGCUAGAAGGUUCCGGUAUCCUCGUGGUCAUUGGAGGGCACAACUGUCCUUCUCCCCGAGGAGUUGGAUAUUCUAAAAAUCAAGCAAUAGCACAGAGCUCUGGGUCUUACCUUUGCUUUUUGGAUUCGGACGAUGUGAUGAUGCCGCAGAGAAUCAGGCUGCAACACGAAGCUGCCGUCCGGCACCCCACGAGCAUUAUAGGCUGCCAAGUGAGGAGAGAGCCGCCCAACUCCACUGAACGGUAUACACGUUGGAUCAACCAGCUGGCGCCCGAUCAGCUCCUGACCCAGGUUUUCACAUCCCACGGCCCGACUGUGGUCAUGCCCACGUGGUUCUGCUCUCGCGCGUGGUUUUCUCAUGUCGGCCCGUUCGACGAGGGAGGGCGCGGCGUACCCGAGGACCUGCUGUUCUUCUAUGACCACCUGCGCAGGGGCGGCGGGGUUGUCCGCGUGGACCAGAGCCUGCUGCUGUACCGCUUCCGGCCUGGUUCGGCCACACAGGCCAUCCUGGAGAGCACCAUCUGGACCCACCGAGUCUGCUUCCUGGAAGAGCGGGCUUUGCGGCACUGGGCCUCCUUCACCAUCUGGAAUGCGGGCCGGCAGGGCCGCCGCCUCUACCGCAGCCUGUCCAAGGGGGCGCGGCGCAAGGUGGUUGCCUUCUGUGAUGUGGACGAGAAGAAGAUCAAGAAGGGCUUUUACUGCUACGAGGAGUCUCAGGAAAGGCCAAAGUCCCGGGUGCCCAUCCUGCACUUCCGAGCUGCCCGGCCCCCCUUUGUCAUCUGUGUGAAGCUGUAGUGGACACCAAACCCCAGGCAGCUUGGAUCGAGCCAGACCUACUGUUCCUCCCACAGGACCUCACAGGGGGUGCACUGGAGGACAACCUGAGGUCCCUGCACCUGCAGGAGGGCCGGGACUUCCUUCACUUCAGCUGACGCUCCUCAGUGGCCACACCCAGGUACCUGCACGGUUUUCUGCAGCCAAGGUCCUGACACUGUGAUCCCUCCCCGACCUGCUGCCGGUGUGAGACGGGGGCAUCUGACAACAUGGGUCUCUCGAAGGGCAGGAAAGCAGCUCAGCCGAGC
RNA transcript from Rhinolophus ferrumequinum (greater horseshoe bat), 1331 nucleotides. It is a transcript of the gene named UDP-GlcNAc:betaGal beta-1,3-N-acetylglucosaminyltransferase like 1, with no coding region annotated. The record is from RefSeq and is a predicted model, not a curated record. The transcript is spliced from 13 exons. Lineage: Eukaryota; Metazoa; Chordata; Mammalia; Chiroptera; Rhinolophidae.